UACCAUUUGGAAAGAACUGUAUCAGAUUCUAUACUAUAAUUGAGUAUAGUCUCAGACCUAUAGCACCUACCCACAUUCUAAGUAACUUACUUGGCGUACUAGAUUUGGUUGGCUAGUUACUUUUCUACUACUGCGAAGGCAUCCUGACCAAGGCAACUUAAAAAAGAAGGCAUUUAAUUAUUGGAACUGGGGAUCUGCUUACAGUUUUAGAGCAUAAGUCCAUGAACAUCUCCUAAUCCCACCUGGAGAGAAUAAGAACACUACCAUGAUUUUUGGGCCAAAUUUGAAGCAAGCUGUAUUACAUACUAGCCAGGAAGGUGGACACUGGCCAGGUCCAUACCCCGGAUUGCUAGAGAAUGGUAGCAAAUUACGUUAGGCAGGCGCUUUUAAAGGCAAAACCUACAAGGCUUCGCACACACCCUGACCUUCUUCCUGCCCAGGUACCUUCCACCUAAAUGUGUACAUCCUGUGGAGUCGGGGAAACCAACCUUGUUAUAGAAGUCAAAACACAUAGUUUGUUACCUCAUAUGAGCAGCUCCCAGCAUUCCAGGAAGUUAUCUGUCCUUGGGCAAGUGGGCUUACAGGUUAGAGGCCUUUUUGUUUUAUAUAGCUCACUUAUGCAUAGUAAUUAAAACUUAAAACAUAACUUUAACCCUCAUACAUCAUGUCUGGGAGCAUACAAUAGGCAGGCAGGCAUGACUUUGUGCAGUAGCUGGGACCUUAGAUCUGAUCCACAGCAGGAGGCAUUCUAAUGUAUGAGCCUUUGGGGGACAUUGUCUUUUAAGCCACCACAGUUUCUAAAUUUGCCUAAGAAGUUAGACCAAGGAGGCUGCACGCUAAUUACAAUCUCAUGCAUGUGUACACUCACCUUUCUAAAACACCCAAAGUCUCUUGACUUGGGUUUUGUAAAAUAAAUCACUUGUUUUCUUACUCCAGAGGCAAGAAACAGAAUACAAAUCACCAUCAAAGUAGAACCAACAGUUCAGUGUUGGCUGCUGAGGGCUUGGGAAGCCGCAGGUCUGGGCUCUGCCCUUCACAGGCUCAGACUGGCUGUGCACAGCAGCUGCUGCCACCUUCGGUAGUCAUCCCAUGGCACUGCACUUACAGUUACAGUCUCUACUGCAGUGGGGCUGCGCUGUCACCAAUAGCUUCUGCUGGCUCUCCUUGGGAACCCUAAUCCUGCUACACAGUGCCAACCCUCGAUUUUUCUCUAUGCAACAUCACCAAAGCCUCUCUUGGUUCCAAGCCUCAGCUGUUCUCUUUGACUUCAAACCCUGGACCACCUAGGAGACUCCUACACCUUUCAAGUUGAAUGCAAAGUAUUGCCCCUUUCUGUUCUGCGGCUUCUGUGUGCCGACCCUGAGGAAACACUUCCCAGAAGAUUAUGUAUGCCUCAGUGAUCUCUCCCUCCUUUCCCCUCCCCCUCCCUCCCUCCUCUUCCCUUUCUUUUUUUUUUGAGACAGGGUUUCUCUGUGUAGCCCUCGUUAUCCAGGCUGGUUUCAAACUUGUAGAGAUGGCUUGCCUCUGCCUCCUGAGUGCCCUGCUUGAUUCUGGCCUUUUCUUACUCACAGCUGCUUGAUUAUUCAGCCCCAGCUGACAAGAACCAUAGCUACUCCAUUCGAAAUAUCAAGUGGUCUCGAUAAAAUGUUUUAAGGGAUUCUAAACUUUACCAUUGAAACUUCAAAAGCUAGGCCUCCAUGUCAGCACCAGUCUGCACAAUAGCUUCUAAAGCUCUGAGCACUAGAUUGCAUUUCUAGACCAAAUUUUCAGUACCCUUUUUAAUUCUCCCCCAAACUAGCAAUAUCUCAUGAACCUGGUACCAUAAUUGAGUUUAUAGAAACAUUUCCAUUUAUGUGAAAAUGUGCUUUUAAAAAAAUCUUUCUUGUGGAAGCAAAAGUGAAUUAGAAAUUGUAAGUAAAAUCUAACUUUUAUUUACACUUGAUUUUUUUCAUGAUGUCCCUUUAUAAAGUGAUUUUGUAAAUGAAAAUAAUUUUGAAAUGCUGUACAGGGAGAAAGGGAAGGGAGCUGAUUACAUAUUAGGGUGGAUACAGAAGUAAGCAUUGUGACGGAUCGCUAGGCAACAGGCUGUGGGGAUGUAGCAUUUCUCAUUUGUGUCGUCAUGUAACCACGGUGGAGCCUGAGCUGGGUUUCUUGUUAAUCAAGUCCAUCUGUUGGUCCAGGAACACACUUUCCUCAGGGUACUGGGUUGCGUUUCCCUCGUUCCUACAGUGUCUUAAACUGCUACUGACAUACUCCCUGAAGUGGACUGCUGGACACAGCCCUGAAACCUUCAGAACAAAGAACGUGACAUGACAGCAUUAAGGUUUCAAGUUUUUUUUUUUUUUUUUUAAUAAAUAGAACUCUUGUUUUUAAUUUGAUGAGCAGGAACUUUCCAACUCUAACCCUCUCUUUACAAUCUGUUUUUAAUUUGC
This 2432-nucleotide long non-coding RNA is filed under the name Mus musculus (house mouse). RNAcentral describes it as "long non-coding RNA chr5:110896218-110898650". The record is from RNAcentral. Lineage: Eukaryota; Metazoa; Chordata; Mammalia; Rodentia; Muridae.